CCCGCUGAACUUAAGCAUAUCAGUAAGCGGAGGAAAGAGAAACUAACAAGGAUUCCCCUAGUAACUGCGAGUGAAGCGGGAAUAGCUCGUCUUGAAAAUCCGUUCAUAUGGAAUUGUAAGAUGAAUCAUUGCGCGUUGUAUAUUGUGUAUUCGAGUCCUUUGGAACAAGGCACCAUAGAGGGUGAUAGUCCCGUAGAAUACAUGACAUCUAUUCGCAACAUAUUAUAUACGAGUCGAGCUGUUUGGGAUUGCAGCUCAAAGAAGGGUGGUAAAUCUCAUCCAAGGCUAAAUAUUACCAAGAGACCGAUAGUGAACAAGUACCGUGAGGGAAAGAUGAAAAGCACCUUGAAAAGGGAAUUAAAUAGCACGUGAAAUUGUUAAAAGGGAAUCAUUCUUAAGGACCUUGUACACAUCAUUUGUGACCAAUGUGCGAGAGUAUAUAUAUUGUACACAUUUAAAUGUGAACAUCAUGUAAUCCCGUAUAUCAAUCACAAACAGUAUCCACAUUCUCUUAAUAAUGACCCGUCUUGAAACACGG
RNAcentral lists this ribosomal RNA (538 nucleotides) under uncultured fungus. Its description in RNAcentral is "eukaryotic LSU rRNA". It matches the Rfam family "Eukaryotic large subunit ribosomal RNA", at positions 24 to 664 of the family's 3401-position model. The record is from RNAcentral. Lineage: Eukaryota; Fungi.